UACGUAGGGUGCAAGCGUUGUCCGGAAUUAUUGGGCGUAAAGAACUCGUAGGCGGUUUGUCGCGUCUGCUGUGAAAUCCCGAGGCUCAACCUCGGGCCUGCAGUGGGUACGGGCAGACUGGAGUGCGGUAGGGGAGAAUGGAAUUCCUGGUGUAGCGGUGGAAUGCGCAGAUAUCAGGAGGAACACCGAUGGCGAAGGCAGUUCUCUGGGCCGUAACUGACGCUGAGGAGCGAAAGCGUGGGGAGCGAACAGG
RNAcentral lists this ribosomal RNA (253 nucleotides) under uncultured bacterium. RNAcentral describes it as "partial 16S ribosomal RNA". It matches the Rfam family "Bacterial small subunit ribosomal RNA", at positions 524 to 776 of the family's 1533-position model. The record is from RNAcentral.